Molecule: ribosomal RNA, 427 nt
Filed under: uncultured bacterium
Lineage: Bacteria
Description: partial 16S ribosomal RNA
Rfam family: Bacterial small subunit ribosomal RNA
Source: RNAcentral
UGGGGAAUAUUGCACAAUGGGCGCAAGCCUGAUGCAGCCAUGCCGCGUGUAUGAAGAAGGCCUUCGGGUUGUAAAGUACUUUCAGCGGGGAGGAAGGCGAUAAGGUUAAUAACCUUGUCGAUUGACGUUACCCGCAGAAGAAGCACCGGCUAACUCCGUGCCAGCAGCCGCGGUAAUACGGAGGGCGCACGCGUUCAUCGGAAUUACUGGGCGUAAAGCGCACGCAGGCGGUCUGUCAAGUCGGAUGUGAAAUCCCCGGGCUCAACCUGGGAACUGCAUUCGAAACUGGCAGGCUAGAGUCUUGUAGAGGGGGGUAGAAUUCCAGGUGUAGCGGUGAAAUGCGUAGAGAUCUGGAGGAAUACCGGUGGCGAAGGCGGCCCCCUGGACAAAGACUGACGCUCAGGUGCGAAAGCGUGGGGAGCAAACA